CCUACGGGGUGCAGCAGUGAGGAAUAUUGGUCAAUGGGCGCGAGCCUGAACCAGCCAAGUAGCGUGAAGGAUGACUGCCCUACGGGUUGUAAACUUCUUUUAUAAAGGAAUAAAGUGAGGCACGUGUGCCUUUUUGUAUGUACUUUAUGAAUAAGGAUCGGCUAAUUCCGUGCCAGCAGCCGCGGUAAUCCGGAGGAUCCGAGCGUUAUGCGGAUUUAUUGGGUUUGAAGGUAGCUUAGUUGGGUUGUUACGUCAGUUGUACACGUUUGCGGCUAAACCGUAAAAUUGCAAUUGAUACUGGCAGCCUUGAGUACAGUUGAGGUAGGCGGAAUUCGUGGUGUAGCGGUGAAAUGCUUAGAUAUCACGAAGAACUCCGAUUGCGAAGGCAGCUUACUAAACUGCCACUGACAUUGAUGCUCGAAAGUGUGGGUAUCAAACAGGAUUAGAUACCCUGGUAGUC
Molecule: ribosomal RNA, 460 nt
Filed under: uncultured bacterium
Lineage: Bacteria
Description: partial 16S ribosomal RNA
Rfam family: Bacterial small subunit ribosomal RNA
Source: RNAcentral